GAUGAACGCUGACAGAAUGCUUAACACAUGCAAGUCUUUGGCGAAGCUGUGCUUGCACAGCCUAGCCAAGGCGGACGGGUGAGUAACGCGUAAGGAACUUGCCCUGCAGUCAGGGAUAACAGACGGAAACGACUGAUAAGACCUGGUAAAGUCAGGCGGACUCAUGUCCAGCCUGAUGAAAAGAGAUGCUGCAGGAGAGCCUUGCGUCCUAUUAGCUUGUUGGUGGGGUAACGGCCCACCAAGGCGAUGAUAGGUAGCCGGCCUGAGAGGGUGGACGGCCACAAGGGGACUGAGAUACGGCCCUUACUCCUACGGGAGGCAGCAGUGGGGAAUAUUGGACAAUGGGGGCAACCCUGAUCCAGCAAUUCGGUGUGCACGAUGAAGGUUUUCGGAUUGUAAAGUGCUUUCAGCAGGGAAGAAAAAAAUGACGGAACCUGCAGAAGAAGCGACGGCUAAAUACGU
RNAcentral lists this ribosomal RNA (462 nucleotides) under uncultured bacterium. RNAcentral describes it as "partial 16S ribosomal RNA". It matches the Rfam family "Bacterial small subunit ribosomal RNA", at positions 28 to 506 of the family's 1533-position model. The record is from RNAcentral.